AAUUCAUGGUUGAGGGCAGUCACGUUCAUACUCCUUAAAACGUUCCCAGGCUUCAUAGAAAGGUUCAGUCGGUCCUUACUGAAAACUUGAGAUCUUGGUUCUCAGCAAGU
This is a small nucleolar RNA of Eutrema salsugineum, 110 nucleotides long. It matches the Rfam family "Plant small nucleolar RNA R71". From Rfam's summary of the family: R71 is a member of the C/D box family of snoRNAs containing the C (UGAUGA) and D (CUGA) box motifs. Multiple nearly identical copies of this snoRNA have been identified in Arabidopsis, and it is thought to function as a 2'-O-ribose methylation guide for 18S ribosomal RNA. NCBI's taxonomy places the organism in Eukaryota, Viridiplantae, Streptophyta, Magnoliopsida, Brassicales, Brassicaceae. The record is from Rfam.